RNAcentral lists this unclassified non-coding RNA (1382 nucleotides) under Hevea brasiliensis (rubber tree). Lineage: Eukaryota; Viridiplantae; Streptophyta; Magnoliopsida; Malpighiales; Euphorbiaceae. The record is from RNAcentral.
GCACCGAGUACACACAUGAUGAAAUGAGGGUUUUUUUUUUGGCAAUUAUUUCAACUCAGUGACUAAUUUCUCUGCAUUAUUCAACACAUUUUUUACAUAACUAAAGCAAAGAACAACUGUUCCUGAACAAAUAACUNCAAAUAACUGCUUUCUCAGUCAACUCCCAUCUGUUGCAGCAGUAUCCUGUCAUCAUGAUUGAGAGUUCAGCCUCUGGACGUCCACCAACUGGUAAAGAUCACCUCUCCGUUGCUUCGUCAAGGGAAGGCUUGUCCUUCUCAGCUCAAUUAGAGAAUAAUCGAUCUCUGCUAUGAUUAUAUCCUGGUCAUGCUCAGUAGUAGCCAGAACUUCUCCAAAUGGUCCUACUAGGGUGGAGUGGCCCCAAGCCACAUAACCAGCUCCAACAUCUCGAGCAGGGGAACAAGUUGCUACAUAUAACUGAUUAUCUGCAGCCCUUGCUCUCUGCAGUAACUCCCAGUGUAACGGUCCAGUUGUCAUGUUAAACGCCCCAGGGUAGCAAAUCAAGUGAGCUCCUCUUGCUGCAUAUAUCAUUGCCAAUUCUUGAAAUCGAAUGUCAUAACAGAUACCUAUACCAAUACGACCAACUUCUGUGUCCACAAUGGUUGGAGUCUGCCCUGCUGUUAAUGUCCUCGACUCUAUAAAGGUAAUCUUCCCGGGAAUGUCAAUAUCAAAAAGGUGUAUCUUCCUGUGUUUGGCUAUCAACUUUCCUUCGGUAUCAAAGACACAACAUGUAUUAUACAACCGAUCCCCAGAACGUUCUGGGAUAGAGCCACCAACUAUGGUGAUCUUCAGAAGUCGAGCAACUUCAGAAAGCAUGGCUGUUGAAGGGGACGCAUUGCUGCCCGCAUCUAUGUCCUCAGCAUAAACUGGGAAACUAUCAUUGGAAUAAGGACUAUUCCAUAUUUCGGGCAAGACAACUAGCUGGGCACCCUUUCCGGCAGCCUCCUCGAUUGCUUUGCGAGCAUGUGCAAUGUUUCUGUCCUUAUCCGCAGUAACCAGUAACUGGCACAACCCUAUCUUAAACUUGGUAACGGGAGGAGUGGGCAAGGGGACGGCGGGAGGAGCCCUGGCUUGCUCAGGCUUGAAAGAGGAAGCCAUUAUUGGAGCAAGUGAAGAGUGGAAUUUGAACUUGUGGUUAAGAUUGAUGAAAUCGCAGGUGGUGUUCUUUUUGAUGUUGUGAUAGAGUGUAGGAGAUAGGCGAGCGAUCGAUUUGGAGUGUAAAAUGGAGGAGCUAUAAUGAGAAGGAGAGAAAGGAGAAUGGUGGAGAUUGAGAUUCUUGGAGCUAAACAGUGAUGAUACUGCUGACUUCAUUCCACUUUCUUCUCUCGAUUAGGAUUCGGAAGGCUAAUCGAUUUCAUGUCUUG